Paramuricea clavata is the source of this 333-nucleotide non-coding RNA. NCBI's taxonomy places the organism in Eukaryota, Metazoa, Cnidaria, Anthozoa, Malacalcyonacea, Plexauridae. The record is from the annotation of a GenBank genome assembly.
AACAUGAUAUCAAUUUUCAUUGGCCUAAUGUAAACAAAAGCACUUUCUCCGCACUCGUGAGUCGAUCUGCCCUGGAACCAAACAGUUAAAAUUUGAAUUUUUCAAACUUCGUAACCGCACCUCUCGUUAAAAUAUUUCUUCUCAACCAGACCUGUCGACUCUCCCGGUUCCCCCCGGGAGACUCCCAGUUUUGACCUUUUUCUCCCGGUCUCCCGAUUCAAAUAUCUGGCAAGAAAUAGUAAUCGUGUGAAAAUCACUCGUAUCCAAGCUGAAACUUACUCCAUCAACUACAAGUGUUCGUCCAAAAAAAUUUCGGUCAAUGUACCAUUUUAG